UACGUAGGGGGCAAGCGUUGUCCGGAUUUAUUGGGCGUAAAGAGCGUGUAGGCGGCUUUACAGGUCCGUUGUGAAAACUCGAGGCUCAACCUCGAGACGCCGGUGGAAACCGUAAGGCUAGAGUCCGGAAGAGGAGAGUGGAAUUCCUGGUGUAGCGGUGGAAUGCGUAGAGAUCCGGAAGAACACCGGUGGCGAAGGCGGCCUGCUGGGCAGUUGCUGACACUGAGGCGCGACAGCGUGGGGAGCAAACAGG
RNAcentral lists this ribosomal RNA (253 nucleotides) under uncultured bacterium. Its description in RNAcentral is "partial 16S ribosomal RNA". It matches the Rfam family "Bacterial small subunit ribosomal RNA", at positions 524 to 776 of the family's 1533-position model. The record is from RNAcentral.